RNAcentral lists this ribosomal RNA (1076 nucleotides) under Pediococcus acidilactici. RNAcentral's name for it is "bacterial SSU rRNA". It matches the Rfam family "Bacterial small subunit ribosomal RNA", at positions 428 to 1505 of the family's 1533-position model. Lineage: Bacteria; Bacillati; Bacillota; Bacilli; Lactobacillales; Lactobacillaceae. The record is from RNAcentral.
AAGUCUUAUUGUACGACGGUAGUCAUUCCCAGUGCGGUUUUAACCCAGAAGUCCUCGGCCUAUUUCGUGGCAGCAGCCGCGGUAUAUGUAGGGUGGCAAGCGUUAUCCGGAUUAUUUGGGGGUAAAGCGAGCGGCAGGCGGUCUUUUAAGUUUAAUGUGAAAGCCUUUGGGCUCCACCCGAAGAAAGUGCAUUGGAAAACUGGGAGACUUGAGUGCAGAAGAGGGACAGUGGAACUCCCAUGUGUAGCGGUGAAAAUGUGUAGAUAUAUGGAAGAACACCAGUGGCGAAGGCGGCUGUCUGGUCUGUAAACUGACGCUGAGGCUCGAAAGCAUGGGUAGCGAACAGGAUUAGAUACCCUGGUAGUCCAUGCCGUAAACGAUGAUUACUAAGUGUUGGAGGGUUUCCGCCCUUCAGUGCUGCAGCUAACGCAUUAAGUAAUCCGCCUGGGGAGUACGACCGCAAGGUUGAAACUCAAAAGAAUUGACGGGGGCCCGCACAAGCGGUGGAGCAUGUGGUUUAAUUCGAAGCUACGCGAAGAACCUUACCAGGUCUUGACAUCUUCUGCCAACCUAAGAGAUUAGGCGUUCCCUUCGGGGACAGAAUGACAGGUGGUGCAUGGUUGUCGUCAGCUCGUGUCGUGAGAUGUUGGGUUAAGUCCCGCAACGAGCGCAACCCUUAUUACUAGUUGCCAGCAUUCAGUUGGGCACUCUAGUGAGACUGCCGGUGACAAACCGGAGGAAGGUGGGGACGACGUCAAAUCAUCAUGCCCCUUAUGACCUGGGCUACACACGUGCUACAAUGGAUGGUACAACGAGUCGCGAAACCGCGAGGUUUAGCUAAUCUCUUAAAACCAUUCUCAGUUCGGACUGUAGGCUGCAACUCGCCUACACGAAGUCGGAAUCGCUAGUAAUCGCGGAUCAGCAUGCCGCGGUGAAUACGUUCCCGGGCCUUGUACACACCGCCCGUCACACCAUGAGAGUUUGUAACACCCAAAGCCGGUGGGGUAACCUUUUAGGAGCUAGCCGUCUAAGGUGGGACAGAUGAUUAGGGUGAAGUCGAAACAAGGAGGCCCACG